GGCAGAAGAGGUUUCACAUAGCAAGCUCACGCUCACCGCCACAAGUGCACAAGCUCGUGCGAAAGAGGCAAAAUAUCGGUGCUUGCGCCUGCAAACACGGCGGCGAUGACGGCGCCAGAGAGCAAAGGGUUCGCCGAGCUGUACCAUCAGCUACUUCAGGACGGCGUGCAGCUGCAGAAAGAGCUCGAGGCGUACUACCUGCGCCAAGAGGGGUACAUACGCAAACGUGUGGCGGUGCUCGAUGAAAUGCAGGAGAACAUCGCUGACGAGCGGCGAUGCUUGGAGUUACAACAUCAAGAGUGCCGUGCGCAGAUCAGCGCGGCACGGAAGCAGGCGGCAAGCUUCUUGUCUGAUGAACGGAAGGUUUCACAGGCGGUGCGACACGCACAACCGUUCCUCGCGGCUCAGGAGGCGGAGAUCGACAAGCGUCUUGAGGAGCUUCAGCGGGAGAAGGAGAGAGAGGAUACCGCACUUCUGAACGUGAUGGCGCGGCAGGAGGCGCUGGGCAAACAGGAGGCUCUACUCGCCUCCCGUGAGCGACAGAGGUUUUUAGAAGAGCAAGACCUGCAAAAGGCGCUGAUUGAGAUGCGCUCCCUCAACCGAGAGAUGGAGGAGCGGCGCAAGUCACUCCUGCGCAAGCACGGCACAGUGGCCGAGUGGGACCGCAAGCUCGAGUCUCGCGAGCGCGAGCUGUUGGUCUGCCAAGAUCAGCUGCGAGAGAACUUAAAGGCGCUGGAGCAAGAGGAGAAUGCACUUGGUAUUCACCCAGCGCAACGCACUGCUGUGGCCCCGGCCGUGUCUCAGCGAACAGUCAUGGACGACCAUGACAUGUCCAUUGAGCACGACAGCGCCUGCGAGGAGAUCGACUACGAGGACUGAGCAACGGGCAUAGCGCAGCAGUGGUUACCGACGAUGCUUCAUCGUUGGUGGCUGCUGCUGCUGCUGCUGCCGCUGGCGAUAGCGGCACUUUUUUCUUUUUGUCUUCUCCGCGUGCUCUGCUUGCGUUGUGUAUCCCCUGUACACAGAUUGGAGGUGGAUUUCGUGUGUCACCGCUUCGCUUUACGCCAUCUCCCUGUGUAUGUGUGCGCGUUCUCUGACUAAGCGAGGCCAGGGCACUGAAUGAGAUUGAGAGAGGCGCGCCUGGAAAGGUCCCGUGCGAGUUUUGAGGGCGUCUCUGAUGAAGGCGUGCCCGUGCUGCUGCAUCUUCCUUAGCACAUUUACUCCAGCAACACAAAGGAAAGGCACACAGACAACGGCGGCGGAGAGGCAGCCGCCAUGAUCGUGCGCGCAUAUGCGCGCGCGCCUACACGGCAGCGGAAGGGCUCAAGCUAAGCACGAAACGAAUGACCGUCGCGGUGAGGCGGACAAAAGCGAGAGAACAAAGGGCAGCGUGCAGUCCAUACGGGAGGUGCUGCCGUCCACGGCCCUUUCACUUCCACGUGACUCCCACAGAUGCACGGAGCGACAGGGUUCGGCGUGCGUGAUGCAUGGAUUCCUCUUCAUCGCUGCCAUUGUGACGCCACUCUCUCAACUCACGAACUCGUCCGAUGCCACUCGGGCGCACACAG
Molecule: unclassified non-coding RNA, 1568 nt
Filed under: Leishmania donovani
Lineage: Eukaryota; Euglenozoa; Kinetoplastea; Trypanosomatida; Trypanosomatidae
Description: LdHU3.17.2110
Source: RNAcentral